RNAcentral lists this transfer RNA (27 nucleotides) under Rubus nessensis. RNAcentral describes it as "partial tRNA-Phe". RNAcentral also lists the same sequence under 3 other names. The record is from RNAcentral. Lineage: Eukaryota; Viridiplantae; Streptophyta; Magnoliopsida; Rosales; Rosaceae.
UCGGGAUAGCUCAGCUGGUAGAGCAGA